Podarcis lilfordi (Lilford's wall lizard) is the source of this 72-nucleotide non-coding RNA. NCBI's taxonomy places the organism in Eukaryota, Metazoa, Chordata, Lepidosauria, Squamata, Lacertidae. The record is from the annotation of a GenBank genome assembly.
GUGUGUGUGCGCACACACACACACAUAUAUAUAUAUGCGCACAUAUGUAUGUGUGUGUGUGUGUAUAUAUAU